UGUCAAUAGAUACAUUUUAUACAAUUUAUAAACUUUGUGAUUAACUAGAACCCGUAAUAUAUCCAUACGCACUACCUAAACAUUUUUGCUUAGCACUUAAUAUUCUGAAAAUUAUUAUGCCCGACAAUUGAAAGUUAUAUCAAUGAAAAUGCUAUGUGUUUCAAAGCGACAACCGAGUGUCAAUCGAGCACAUGUUCAAACCGUUUUAUGUUACAUACAUAUUUUCAUGUCAAAUAUGCACAAUCUUUAAGUGGUUUUGGAUAAUUUACCCUUGCAUUUUAUUCAGCAAUAACCUAGGUCGAUAAUUAACCAGAUAGAUGUGUUUAUCCCUUGCAUAUAGAGCAGGUUUAAUCUCUCAGCAUAGUUCCCUCCCCAAAUAUCACAUCUGUUUAUCAGCUCAUUUAAAAUAUGCUGUUCAGUCUGUUAGAUUAUGUUACAUUUCAAAGAUAUUGACCACAACAAGCACAAUAUAAAGGCAUUAUUUAUGCCAAUGCGAUUCAGUAAAUAUGUUAUACUAAAUGCUAGCUGUUUCUCUUCAAAUUCCAGUGCUCGCUGGUAAUAAUCCUUAGCCUGGUCCAGGUCACCUUUAUCAUACCAGUAGUAUAGAGAAUAGGGGUUCUGGGACGGGCGGAGCGGGCGGAGCGCAUUGCUCCGCCCAUGACGUCAUCAUUUCUUAAGUAUUUUAAUUUAUUCAGAUUCAUGUUAAUUUAUUUAGACUUUCUUCAUAUUUUUGUAUUGCUGCCAUUUGUUUAUCUACAGUUUUGGCUUAUUUCAGGCUCUUCUGCUGUCGCUUAUUCACCUAUAAUUUUUAGUUUUAUAUUUCUGGCUGCUCCACAUAUAUUCCUUCUAACCAACCACAGAGUAAAGAUACAUCAGAGAGGAAACAGACACCUCGAUAACCUGAAUUUUUGUGUCACGCCGUCCACGCAGGUUCCACGCGCCACGCAAAAUCUUCCAGCCAGUGCCGUCGCCGAAAUUUCAUAGCAAAAGAUAGGGAAAACGCCCUUCGAAAGGUGAAAAUCGCUUUUUUUUUUAAAAUGAGAUACCCAUGGAAGUUUUGUUCAAUAAAUUAUUGUAGAAUAACGGUAAGCGAUCACUUUUAUUGAUUUCUUUUUAUUCAAAGUGUUAACAUUACAUUUUAUUUUGCAAAAGUUUGUUUAUUUCCCUAUCUAUUCCUUAUUAAAAUCGUGAAAAGCACUGGCUGAAGGUUUGAGAUGCCCAUAUAUAAAAAACAAAGCAGCAAAUGAUAUAAAUGCCUCAAAAUAUAUCUCUUGCAUAAAAAAAACAUGUUUACUUCUAUAAUACGUAUAGUUUUUUCCUCUGCAUGGUCAAAAUUUAAUAAAAUAGCGAAUUAAUAUAAUUU
Paramuricea clavata is the source of this 1363-nucleotide non-coding RNA. NCBI's taxonomy places the organism in Eukaryota, Metazoa, Cnidaria, Anthozoa, Malacalcyonacea, Plexauridae. The record is from the annotation of a GenBank genome assembly.